CCUUACCUAGGCUUGANAUGCAUGGGGACCGGGUAUGAAAGUACCCUUCCCUUCGGGGCCGCUGUACAGGUGCUGCAUGGCUGUCGUCAGCUCGUGCCGUGAGGUGUUGGGUUAAGGCUCGCAACGAGCGCAACCCCUACUAUUAGNUGCCAUCAGGUUAUGCUGGGCACUCUAAUGGGACUGCCUACGCAAGUAGUGAGGAAGGUGGGGAUGACGUCAAGUCAGCAUGGCCCUUACGCCUAGGGCUACACACGUGCUACAAUGGGUACUACAACGGGUUGCUAAGCCGCAAGGGGGAGCCAAUCCCUUAAAGGNAUCCUCAGUUCGGAUUGGAGUCUGCAACUCGACUCCAUGAAGAUGGAAUUGCUAGUAAUCGCGNAUCAGC
This 385-nucleotide ribosomal RNA is filed under the name uncultured bacterium. Its description in RNAcentral is "bacterial SSU rRNA". It matches the Rfam family "Bacterial small subunit ribosomal RNA", at positions 969 to 1353 of the family's 1533-position model. The record is from RNAcentral.